This is a long non-coding RNA of Amblyraja radiata (thorny skate), 663 nucleotides long. RefSeq lists it as uncharacterized. The record is from RefSeq and is a predicted model, not a curated record. NCBI's taxonomy places the organism in Eukaryota, Metazoa, Chordata, Chondrichthyes, Rajiformes, Rajidae. The transcript has 3 exons.
UAUGAGGACAGAGCCAGAAAAUAUGUGUUAAAGAACCAUCUGCACUUUUGCAUCUGUCACAUAAUGGAGAAAUAGCUGGGUAGAUUCGAUGUCAUUUGGUCUUUGAGUAAUGGAGUCUGUGGAUGACUUUAAACUGGAUCAGUUUAUACCUGACAUUGAUCGAACAAGUUUGGAUUCUGGUCAGACCUUCAUUCCAAAUGUCGUCAGACACCUCGAAAUUCAGCUCAGUAGACCAGGCUUUUUUCAGAUGGGUAGUGGAUACAGAGGUGGUGAAUAGACUCACAAAGCGAGAUAUUAGAUGUUUGGAGUCUGGAGGAAGCUGCAGGAGCUCAUAGAGUGGGCAACUGUCAGGCAUGGUUUGAAAAUUUGGAAUUUGAUCUUUAACGUAGUGCCUAAUUUGGAGAUAGCGAAAAAAAUGAGAGUUGGAAAGGUUAAAUUUUGAUUUCAGCUGAUUAAACAAAGCAAACUUUUUGUCAAUAUAUAGAUCUCUGAGGGUCGCAAGGCCCUUGUCCCUCCAGACAGCAAACACCCCAUCCGUCUGUGAUGGCAAAAAGGAGUGGUUGUGACAUAUGGGGGUGUAAAUAGAGACAUUUGACAAUGUACUGAAACUUCUUAUCUGAUUUAAAAUUCGAAUAGAAUUUCUUAAAAUAAAGUUCUCACCAA